This 1186-nucleotide ribosomal RNA is filed under the name Arthrobacter sp. BMG5739. RNAcentral describes it as "bacterial SSU rRNA". It matches the Rfam family "Bacterial small subunit ribosomal RNA", at positions 202 to 1389 of the family's 1533-position model. The record is from RNAcentral. Lineage: Bacteria; Bacillati; Actinomycetota; Actinomycetes; Micrococcales; Micrococcaceae.
AAAGCUUUUGUGGUUUUGGAUGGACUCGCGGCCUAUCAGCUUGUUGGUGGGGUAAUGGCCUACCAAGGCGACGACGGGUAGCCGGCCUGAGAGGGUGACCGGCCACACUGGGACUGAGACACGGCCCAGACUCCUACGGGAGGCAGCAGUGGGGAAUAUUGCACAAUGGGCGCAAGCCUGAUGCAGCGACGCCGCGUGAGGGAUGAAGGCCUUCGGGUUGUAAACCUCUUUCAGUAGGGAAGAAGCCUGGCCUUCGGGGUUGGUGACGGUACCUGCAGAAGAAGCGCCGGCUAACUACGUGCCAGCAGCCGCGGUAAUACGUAGGGCGCAAGCGUUAUCCGGAAUUAUUGGGCGUAAAGAGCUCGUAGGCGGUUUGUCGCGUCUGCCGUGAAAGUCCGGGGCUUAACUCCGGGAUCUGCGGUGGGUACGGGCAGACUAGAGUGCAGUAGGGGAGACUGGAAUUCCUGGUGUAGCGGUGAAAUGCGCAGAUAUCAGGAGGAACACCGAUGGCGAAGGCAGGUCUCUGGGCUGUAACUGACGCUGUGGAGCGAAAGCAUGGGGAGCGAACAGGAUUAGAUACCCUGGUAGUCCAUGCCGUAAACGUUGGGCACUAGGUGUGGGGGACAUUCCACGUUUUCCGCGCCGUAGCUAACGCAUUAAGUGCCCCGCCUGGGGAGUACGGCCGCAAGGCUAAAACUCAAAGGAAUUGACGGGGGCCCGCACAAGCGGCGGAGCAUGCGGAUUAAUUCGAUGCAACGCGAAGAACCUUACCAAGGCUUGACAUGAACCGGAAUGAUGCAGAGAUGUGUCAGCCACUUGUGGCCGGUUUACAGGUGGUGCAUGGUUGUCGUCAGCUCGUGUCGUGAGAUGUUGGGUUAAGUCCCGCAACGAGCGCAACCCUCGUUCCAUGUUGCCAGCGGGUUAUGCCGGGGACUCAUGGGAGACUGCCGGGGUCAACUCGGAGGAAGGUGGGGACGACGUCAAAUCAUCAUGCCCCUUAUGUCUUGGGCUUCACGCAUGCUACAAUGGCCGGUACAAAGGGUUGCGAUACUGUGAGGUGGAGCUAAUCCCAAAAAGCCGGUCUCAGUUCGGAUUGAGGUCUGCAACUCGACCUCAUGAAGUUGGAGUCGCUAGUAAUCGCAGAUCAGCAACGCUGCGGUGAAUACGUUCCCGGGCCUUGUACACA